RNAcentral lists this ribosomal RNA (1215 nucleotides) under uncultured Chlorophyta. RNAcentral's name for it is "bacterial SSU rRNA". It matches the Rfam family "Bacterial small subunit ribosomal RNA", at positions 99 to 1345 of the family's 1533-position model. Lineage: Eukaryota; Viridiplantae; Chlorophyta. The record is from RNAcentral.
CGGACGGGUGAGUAACGCGUGAGAACCUGCCUCAAGGUCGGGGACGACAGUUGGAAACGACUGCUAAUGCCGGAUGAGCCGAAUAGGUAAAAGAUUUAUCGCCUUGAGAGGGGCUCGCGUCUGAUUAGCUAGAUGGUGAGGUAAAGGCUUACCAUGGCGACGAUCAGUAGCUGGUCUGAGAGGAUGAGCAGCCACACUGGGACUGAGACACGGCCCAGACUCCUACGGGAGGCAGCAGUGGGGAAUUUUCCGCAAUGGGCGAAAGCCUGACGGAGCAAUACCGCGUGAGGGAGGAAGGCUCUUGGGUUGUAAACCUCAAAACUUAGGGAAGAAAAAAAUGACGGUACCUAAUGUAAGCAUCGGCUAACUCCGUGCCAGCAGCCGCGGUAAUACGGAGGAUGCAAGCGUUAUCCGGAAUCAUUGGGCGUAAAGAGUCCGUAGGUGGUACUUCAAGUCUGCUUUCAAAGACCGAAGCUCAACCUCGGAAAGGGAGUGGAAACUGAAGAGCUAGAGUAUAGUAGGGGUAGAGGGAAUUCCUAGUGUAGCGGUGAAAUGCGUAGAGAUUAGGAAGAACACCCAGUGGCGAAGGCGCUCUACUGGGCAUAUACUGGCACUGAGGGACGAAAGCUAGGGGAGCGAAAGGGAUUAGAUACCCCUGUAGUCCUAGCGGUAAACGAUGGAUACUAGGCGUAGUGCUGUAAAAGGGACUGUGCCGAAGCUAACGCGUUAAGUAUCCCGCCCUGGGGAGUACGCACGCAAGUGUGAAACUCAAAGGAAUUUGACGGGGACCCGUACAAGCGGGUGGGAGUAUUGUGGUUUGAUUUGAUGCAACGCGAAGAACCUUACCAAGGCUUGACAUCCUGCGAAUUUUGAUGAAAGUUGAGAGUGCCUAAGGGAACGCAGAGACAGGUGGUGCAUGGCUGUUGUCAGCUUGUGUCGUGAGAUGUUGGGUUAAGUCCCGCAACGAGCGCAACCCUUGUCCUUAGUUGCCAGCCUUAAGUUGGGGACUUUAGGGAGACCGCCGGGGAGAACUUGGAGGAAGGUGGGGAUGACGUCAAGUCAGCCUGCCCCUUACGUUUUGGGCUACCCACGUACUACAAUGGUUGGGACAAAGGGGAGGGAAGCCGCGAGGUGGAGCGAAUUUCAUCAAACCCAGCCACAGUUCAGAUUGCAGGGUGAAACUUGCCUGCAGAAGGAGGAAUCGCUAGUAAUUGC